RNAcentral lists this ribosomal RNA (393 nucleotides) under uncultured bacterium. Its description in RNAcentral is "bacterial SSU rRNA". It matches the Rfam family "Bacterial small subunit ribosomal RNA", at positions 29 to 413 of the family's 1533-position model. The record is from RNAcentral.
AACGAACGCUGGCGGCGCGCCUAAUACAUGCAAGUCGAGCGAGAAGACGUAGCAAUACGUUUGUAAAGCGGCGAACGGGUGAGGAAUACAUGGGUAACCUACCCUCGAGUGGGGAAGUAACUAGCCGAAGGUUAGCUAAUACCGCGUACGCUCCUUGGACUUCGGCUCAGGGAGGAAAGCGAUACCGUGGGUAUCGCGCUCUUGGAUGGGCUCAUGUCCUAUCAGCUUGUUGGGAGGUAACGGCUCACCAAGGCUUCGACGGGUAGCUGGUCUGAGAGGACGAUCAGCCACACUGGCACUGCGACACGGGCCAGACUCCUACGGGAGGCAGCAGUAAGGAAUAUUGCGCAAUGGGCGAAAGCCUGACGCAGCGACGCCGCGUGGGGGAGUGAA